GUCCCUGCAGCGCAAUCCGCAGCUCGUUGGACUUUUAACCCAAAGGUCGUGGGAUCAAACCCCACUUGGGAUG
Non-coding RNA from Trichonephila inaurata madagascariensis, 73 nucleotides. The record is from the annotation of a GenBank genome assembly. NCBI's taxonomy places the organism in Eukaryota, Metazoa, Arthropoda, Arachnida, Araneae, Nephilidae.